Long non-coding RNA from Heterocephalus glaber (naked mole-rat), 618 nucleotides. The record is from Ensembl. Lineage: Eukaryota; Metazoa; Chordata; Mammalia; Rodentia; Bathyergidae.
CUCCUUCCGACAGUGCUGGAUCUGCCAGGGCUGGGAGAGUCUGGUGGCUGAGGCAACCUUUCGCGGGCUGCCUGGGCACAGGCUGAUUUGGAAGAUACUUUAUAUAAAGAGAUAAGGAUUCUCUUGAUGUGAAAUUGUUUUCCUUCCAAGCUCAUCUCAUCACCUUGAAAUAUAAAUAUCUCUGCUUGAGGGAGGUCAAGGCUUGUGGAAGAUCAUUUGGAUGUUAAAAAUUCAAAUAAGACACGCUGAGCCCCCAGUGGUCCCGUGAUGUUGUGAUGCUCAAGGGCAAGAUUACAUCAGCUGAAGACAUCCUGGUUCCUUGAGAACUGAGUAGUAAUAAAAAAAGAGAAAGGCUUCAUCUGGGGAGGGACAAAUUCCUUAUCAGCUUAACUCAUCCCACCUACUGCUGUAAGAAUAUUUGCUCAUCUUACCGUCCUCAUCAACAUGAGGUCCUCAUGGACCUAAGAUUCUCAUCAGCACAAGAUCCUCCUGGACAUAUGGUCACCACUGCCCUAUGGGUCAUCUGGUGCUCCCUCCGAUUAUUGUAUGAAUCCAAUAAAUAGUGGCCAGCUUGAGUGUCUGUCUUUGCCCACUCUGAGGCACUGACCUCCCAGCCCC